RNAcentral lists this long non-coding RNA (208 nucleotides) under Homo sapiens (human). RNAcentral describes it as "non-protein coding lnc-ILVBL-1:1". Lineage: Eukaryota; Metazoa; Chordata; Mammalia; Primates; Hominidae. The record is from RNAcentral.
UUCUCUCUCUUUUUCUUUCUUUUUUUUUUUGAGAUGGAGUCUCACUCUGUUGCCCAGGCUGGAGUGCAGUGGUGUGAUUUUGGCUCACUGCAAGCUCUGCCUCCCAGGUUCACGCCAUUCUCCUGUCUCAGCCUCCUGAGUAGCUGGGACUACAGCGCCCGCCACCACACCCAGCUAUUUUUUUUGUAUUUUUAUUAGAGAUGGGGUU